UACGGGGGGGGCAAGCGUUGUUCGGAAUUACUGGGCGUAAAGGGCUCGUAGGCGGCCAACUAAGUCGGAUGUGAAAUCCCCAGGCUUAACCUGGGAACUGCAUCCGAUACUGGAUGGCUUGAAUUCGGGAGAGGGAUGCAGAAUUCCAGGUGUAGCGGUGAAAUGCGUAGAUAUCAGGAGGAACACCUGCGGUGUAGACGGCUUACUGGACCAUAACUGACGCUGAGGCACGAAAGCGUGGGUAGCAAACAGG
RNAcentral lists this ribosomal RNA (253 nucleotides) under uncultured bacterium. Its description in RNAcentral is "partial 16S ribosomal RNA". It matches the Rfam family "Bacterial small subunit ribosomal RNA", at positions 524 to 776 of the family's 1533-position model. The record is from RNAcentral.